ACACCCGUAUUAUUGCUGUUAUGGGUUUGAACGGAGCUUAGCCUUGUUCAUUUUUUUACACAAUAGCCCUGUAAAAAAUUGAACACACCCCACUGAGCACCCUGAAGGAUCGGCGUUUGGCCCCCUUUGAAAGGCCUUGGAACGCCCCAAAAAUGGCCAUCAUGCCCCACUACAGGGCAC
This 180-nucleotide small RNA is filed under the name Ectopseudomonas guguanensis. RNAcentral's name for it is "Pseudomonas guguanensis Pseudomonas sRNA P1". It matches the Rfam family "Pseudomonas sRNA P1". From Rfam's summary of the family: There appears to be two related copies of P1 sRNA in the P.aeruginosa PA01 genome and both copies appear to be located upstream of predicted glutamine synthetase genes. Lineage: Bacteria; Pseudomonadati; Pseudomonadota; Gammaproteobacteria; Pseudomonadales; Pseudomonadaceae. The record is from RNAcentral.